RNAcentral lists this transfer RNA (73 nucleotides) under Pelodiscus sinensis (Chinese soft-shelled turtle). It matches the Rfam family "tRNA". Rfam says of the family: Transfer RNA (tRNA) molecules are approximately 80 nucleotides in length. Lineage: Eukaryota; Metazoa; Chordata; Testudines; Trionychidae. The record is from Rfam by way of RNAcentral.
GGGGAAUUAGCUCAAGAGGUAGAGCUCUUGCUUUGCAUGUGAGAGGCAGUAGGAUCAAUACCCACGUUCUCCA